GUUCCAGCAGUAACUAAAUGAACCAUAAUCAGUUCAUUCAUGAAGGUUGUGAUGGAUUGGAUCUUAAAUGUCCUCCAGAGUUGAUGGCACUAUCGUAAGGACCAUUGCUGACUCUGCAGCCUAUAUUGGACUAUAUCACAGGAUGUGGCUUAUCUGUUGUUUCUAGGCUUUAAUAAAUUCACAGUCCAGUGUAGAAGCCCCCUCAUUUCUCUGGAGGAGUCUAAGGAAGGCCAUCGCUCUUUUCUGAAAGAUCCAUCAGAUGAGACACAAAGCCUGAAUUCCAGCCCUUCCAAAAGCUGCAAGUUUUUUAAUGACAGUGACGAUGGCAUUGCCCUAUCCUGGUGGAUUACUUAGAACACUUCCAAGCACUUACAUAGUCAUGAUCUCAAAUGGCAUUUGGGUGAGAAUAGUUACUAUCAUCUU
This 423-nucleotide long non-coding RNA is filed under the name Fukomys damarensis (Damara mole-rat). RNAcentral's name for it is "lncRNA (ENSFDAG00000030293.1)". The record is from RNAcentral. Lineage: Eukaryota; Metazoa; Chordata; Mammalia; Rodentia; Bathyergidae.